This 1023-nucleotide ribosomal RNA is filed under the name Sordariales sp. Its description in RNAcentral is "SSU rRNA". It matches the Rfam family "Eukaryotic small subunit ribosomal RNA", at positions 72 to 1106 of the family's 1831-position model. Lineage: Eukaryota; Fungi; Ascomycota; Sordariomycetes; Sordariales. The record is from RNAcentral.
AAUUAUACAGCGAAACUGCGAAUGGCUCAUUAAAUCAGUUAUCGUUUAUUUGAUAGUACCUUACUACAUGGAUAACCGUGGUAAUUCUAGAGCUAAUACAUGCUGAAAAUCCCGACUUCGGAAGGGAUGUAUUUAUUAGAUUAAAAACCAAUGCCCUCCGGGGCUCCCUGGUGAUUCAUAAUAACUUCUCGAAUCGCACGGCCUUGCGCCGGCGAUGGUUCAUUCAAAUUUCUGCCCUAUCAACUUUCGACGGCAGGGUCUUGGCCUGCCAUGGUGACAACGGGUAACGGAGGGUUAGGGCUCGACCCCGGAGAAGGAGCCUGAGAAACGGCUACUACAUCCAAGGAAGGCAGCAGGCGCGCAAAUUACCCAAUCCCGACUCGGGGAGGUAGUGACAAUAAAUACUGAUACAGGGCUCUUUUGGGUCUUGUAAUUGGAAUGAGUACAAUUUAAAUCCCUUAACGAGGAACAAUUGGAGGGCAAGUCUGGUGCCAGCAGCCGCGGUAAUUCCAGCUCCAAUAGCGUAUAUUAAAGUUGUUGAGGUUAAAAAGCUCGUAGUUGAACCUUGGGCCUAGCCGGCCGGUCCGCCUCACCGCGUGCACUGGCUCGGUUGGGCCUUUCUUUCUGGAGAACCCCAUGCCCUUCACUGGGUGUGGUGGGGAACCAGGACUUUUACCGUGAACAAAUCAGAUCGCUUAAAGAAGGCCUAUGCUCGAAUGUAUUAGCAUGGAAUAAUGGAAUAGGACGUGUGGUUCUAUUUUGUUGGUUUCUAGGACCGCCGUAAUGAUUAAUAGGGACAGUCGGGGGCAUCAGUAUUCAAUUGUCAGAGGUGAAAUUCUUGGAUUUAUUGAAGACUAACUACUGCGAAAGCAUUUGCCAAGGAUGUUUUCAUUAAUCAGGAACGAAAGUUAGGGGAUCGAAGACGAUCAGAUACCGUCGUAGUCUUAACCAUAAACUAUGCCGAUUAGGGAUCGGACGGUGUUAUUUUUGACCCGUUCGGCACCUUACGAUAAAUCAAAAUGU